RNAcentral lists this small nucleolar RNA (133 nucleotides) under Carlito syrichta (Philippine tarsier). RNAcentral describes it as "Small nucleolar RNA SNORA64/SNORA10 family (ENSTSYG00000021051.2)". It matches the Rfam family "Small nucleolar RNA SNORA64/SNORA10 family". From Rfam's summary of the family: This family belongs to the H/ACA class of small nucleolar RNAs (snoRNAs) which act as guides in the the modification of uridines to pseudouridines. The record is from Rfam by way of RNAcentral. Lineage: Eukaryota; Metazoa; Chordata; Mammalia; Primates; Tarsiidae.
AGCCUCUCAGCUACACUUGAUCACACAGGCCCAUUGUGUGCUUGGCAUAUGUUCAGGGAGAGAGAGGAAGGCUUUCUUAAUGCAGGAUAGAGCUACCCCAAAUGGCCUCUCUGUUCCUAGGAGUGUGACAGGU